GAUGAACGCUGGCGGCGUGCCUAAUACAUGCAAGUCGAGCGAACGGACGAGAAGCUUGCUUCUCUGAUGUUAGCGGCGGACGGGUGAGUAACACGUGGAUAACCUACCUAUAAGACUGGGAUAACUUCGGGAAACCGGAGCUAAUACCGGAUAAUAUUUUGAACCGCAUGGUUCAAAAGUGAAAGACGGUCUUGCUGUCACUUAUAGAUGGAUCCGCGCUGCAUUAGCUAGUUGGUAAGGUAACGGCUUACCAAGGCAACGAUGCAUAGCCGACCUGAGAGGGUGAUCGGCCACACUGGAACUGAGACACGGUCCAGACUCCUACGGGAGGCAGCAGUAGGGAAUCUUCCGCAAUGGGCGAAAGCCUGACGGAGCAACGCCGCGUGAGUGAUGAAGGUCUUCGGAUCGUAAAACUCUGUUAUUAGGGAAGGACAUAUGUGUAAGUAACUGUGCACAUCUUGACGGUACCUAAUCAGAAAGCCACGGCUAACUACGUGCCAGCAGCCGCGGUAAUACGUAGGUGGCAAGCGUUAUCCGGAAUUAUUGGGCGUAAAGCGCGCGUAGGCGGUUUUUUAAGUCUGAUGUGAAAGCCCACGGCUCAACCGUGGAGGGUCAUUGGAAACUGGAAAACUUGAGUGCAGAAGAGGAAAGUGGAAUUCCAUGUGUAGCGGUGAAAUGCGCAGAGAUAUGGAGGAACACCAGUGGCGAAGGCGACUUUUUGGUCUGUAACUGACGCUGAUGUGCGAAAGCGUGGGGAUCAAACAGGAUUAGAUACCCUGGUAGUCCACGCCGUAAACGAUGAGUGCUAAGUGUUAGGGGGUUUCCGCCCCUUAGUGCUGCAGCUAACGCAUUAAGCACUCCGCCUGGGGAGUACGACCGCAAGGUUGAAACUCAAAGGAAUUGACGGGGACCCGCACAAGCGGUGGAGCAUGUGGUUUAAUUCGAAGCAACGCGAAGAACCUUACCAAAUCUUGACAUCCUUUGACAACUCUAGAGAUAGAGCCUUCCCCUUCGGGGGACAAAGUGACAGGUGGUGCAUGGUUGUCGUCAGCUCGUGUCGUGAGAUGUUGGGUUAAGUCCCGCAACGAGCGCAACCCUUAAGCUUAGUUGCCAUCAUUAAGUUGGGCACUCUAAGUUGACUGCCGGUGACAAACCGGAGGAAGGUGGGGAUGACGUCAAAUCAUCAUGCCCCUUAUGAUUUGGGCUACACACGUGCUACAAUGGACAAUACAAAGGGCAGCGAAACCGCGAGGUCAAGCAAAUCCCAUAAAGUUGUUCUCAGUUCGGAUUGUAGUCUGCAACUCGGCUACAUGAAGCUGGAAUCGCUAGUAAUCGUAGAUCAGCAUGCUACGGUGAAUACGUUCCCGGGUCU
RNAcentral lists this ribosomal RNA (1372 nucleotides) under uncultured bacterium. Its description in RNAcentral is "bacterial SSU rRNA". It matches the Rfam family "Bacterial small subunit ribosomal RNA", at positions 28 to 1381 of the family's 1533-position model. The record is from RNAcentral.